CAGCUUCAGCAGAGGACAAAGAAACCAUUGGCUGCUUUUUGGAUUUCCAAGUAAUAAGCUACCACCCAAAAGUACACAAAAACCAGUAACAUACCUGCGAGUAUCAGGACAGGAAGCCCAAUCACUGUCAGAAUAUGCAUGUAUGGAGAAAUCAGAAGUGGCAGAAUAGAAAAGACCCAAAUACAUAGUGCCCUUAAGAUAUCUGAGGACAUGUAGGGUAGCAGUCAUAUGUGGAAUUGUGGGACACUUCAAAAACUGACUUAGAUGUUGAACAGCAAAGCAGAUGUCAGGCCUGGUGGGGUAAAAAAUAAGAGCUUACCAAUGAGGCUCCUAUAUUGAUCAGGGGAGGAGAAGGGGUCACCAUAAUCAACAUGGAGUUUGACAUUAAGAUCCAAAGGACAAACAACAUGAGAGACAUUCAUACAGUCAAAUUGAUGCAGCAGGUCAGAGACAUAUUUGUGCUGAUUAAGAUGCAUACCACCAGGUACAACAGACAUCUCAAUGCCCAGGAAAUAAUGCAAAGACCUAAGGUCUUUAAUCCUGAACUGAUCAUCCAGAAAAAGUUUCAAGGCAGAAAGCUCAUCAUUGUAACCAGGAACAACAGACAUCUCAAUGCCUAGGAAAUAAUGCAAAGACUCAAGGUCUUUAAUCUUGAACUGGUCAUCUAGAAAACGUUUCAGGGCAGAAAGCUCAUCAUUGUCAUUCCCAGUAAUAAUAAUAUCAUCCACAUAGACUGGGUCAUCCAGAAAAAUUUUCAGGGCAAAAAGCUCAUCAUUGUCAUUCCCAGUAAUAAUAAUAUCAUCUACAUAGACUGCCACAACUACAAGACAAUCAGGUUUGCCCUUGAUAAACAGAAUAAUCAUUCAAAGAAUGUGUGUAUCCUCUGGAGUAGAGGGCAGAAGACAGUUUAGCAUACCACUGUCUGGAGGCCUGUCUCAGUCCAUAAAGAGACUUCUUCAACUUGCAUAUAAGAGGAGGGGAUGCAGAGGAAAUAAAAGCAGCAGAAGAGACAGAAACUGUUAAACCUGGAGGAAUUUUCAUAUAAACUUCCUCAUCCAGAUCACAAUGCAAGAAAGCAUUAUUAACAUCAAGCUGAAAGAGAUCCCAAUGAUUCUUAACAGCCACAGCAAUAAGACAUUUAACAGUGGACAUCUUAACCACAGGAGAAAAGGUGUCAGUGAAAUCAACUCCUUCAACUUAAGUAUCCCCUCUAAUAACAAGUCUAGCCUUGUAUCUUUCAACACUACCAUCGGCCUUGUAUUUGAUCUUAUAAACCACUUGCAUCCUAUGGGUUUCUUACCAGGAGGAAGGGGAACAACAUCCUAGGUAUUAUUAACAUCCAAUGCAUCAAACUCCUUUCUCAUGGCAUCCUGCCAUACUGGGACUGAUGCAGCUUGAGAAUAAUAAAGAGGUUCAGAUUCCAAAGGAGAAGAAGAAGAUCUAGAAAAGGCAGGAAGGUGACACACAUAAUCCUUAAGAUAAGAGGGAAGGGUAUGCUGACUCCCAUAUUUUCUGGGAACAUUAGGUGCUAUGAAAGGAGGUAAAGCAGGAGGAGAAAUAUCAUAUUAAAAGGAGGGCGGGAAGCAGGAAGGGUGGGAGGAGGAGGCAGUGAUGGAGGAACAGAGGAAGUAACAGGACUGGGAGAGGAUGGAGGAGUAGCAGAAGGAGAAGAUGGAAAGGUAGAAACAGGAACAAACAGGUCAGUGUCAGAAAAUGACUGCUCAGGAGAAGAAACAAAAGGAAAGGAAGAUGAAGAAAUGGAAGGGGUAGAGGCAGUUCUAAAAGGAAAUGAAGUCUCAUGAAAUACAACAUUCCUGGACACAAAACAUUUUUUUGAACUGAGAUUAUACAACUUGCAACCCUUUUUGGCAAAAGGAUAUCCUAUAAAAACACAGGAAGUUGUUCUAGGUUUCAGCUUAUCCCUCUGUGGGAUUGUGAAAUACAACAUCCCUGGACACAAAAUAUUUUUUUGAACUGAGAUCAUACAACUUGUAUCCCUUUUUGGCUAAAGGAUAUCCUAGAAAAACACAGGAAAUUGCUCUAGGUUUCAGCUUAUCCCUCUGUGGGAUUGGAACAGAAGCAUAGGCAAGGCAACCAAAGACCCUUAAAUGAGAAUAAGUAGGGGCCUGGCCAUGUAAAAUUUCAUAAGAGGAUUUGCCUUGAAGGAGCCUGGAGGGUAUUCUGUUAAUAAGGUAUGUAGCAGUCAACAGACAGUCUCCCCAGAAAGAGAUGGGUAAACCAGGUUGGAAGAGUAAGGCUCUAGAGUUUCCUAUGUUUCCUUUCAACAACACCAUUCUGUUGAGGAGUAUGGGGACAAGUUGUUUGAUAAUGCCUUGUUGGCUAAAGAAGGAUGCACCAGCAAUGCUAGACCCCAAUUCCAAAGCAUUNNNNNNNNNNNNNNNNNNNNNNNNNNNNNNNNNNNNNNNNNNNNNNNNNNNNNNNNNNNAUGGUAGACCCCAAUUCCAAAGCAUUGUCACUUCUAAUGGGUUGAACAACAGCAUUAAACUGGGUUUUAAUCAUACACAGAAAAGACUUAAGCGUGCAGAAAGCAUUGCUUUUAGACCCAAUAAAUGUAUCCAGGUUGCUCUAGAAAAGUCAUCAACUAUUGUUAGAAAGUAUCUAGAGCUAGAAGAAGUGGGAGUGUGAUAAGGACCCCAAGUAUAUACAUGAAUCAAUUGGAAAGGUCUAGAUGUACUUGUUGUGCUACCAGGAAAGGGAAGUCUAGUUUGUCUAGCCAUAGGACAAAUAGAACAAGAGAAGGGCUGUUUAGAAGCAAAUGGAAAUGACAAGGCAGAAAUAUGUUUCAUGUUUGCAAAUGAAAUAUGAGCCAGUCUCAAAUGCCAAAUGUAAUUCAUGUCAGUGGUAACAACAUUAUUAUAGAUGGAACUAUUUACAGUUGAAGGUAAAGCAACAACUUUAUGACUAGAACAAUCAUGAUUACAAGAAUCUGAAGAAAGAGAACAUACAGAAGUAGAAGAACAACAAUUAAAAGAAGAAGAGGAAGGUGGCACCCAAGAAAACUUGUACAGACCAGCCUCCUCUUUACCAAGAUCCAGAGGCAUCUUCAGAGAAGGGGCCUGUAACAUGUGAAGAAAACAGGAAGUUGCAGUAAACAUGACAAUACAGUGCAACUGUUUAACUAGUUUGUGGACAGAAAUUAAAUUACGUUGCAGUAAACAAGACUAUGUAAUGCAACUAUUUUACUAGUUUGUGGACAGAAAUCAAGUUGUGUUUGAAAGAAGGAACAAAUAAGACAUCAUGAAUAAUGAUGAAUGGAUUUAAUGCAAAAGAUCCUGUGCAUGUCACUUUCACUUUAUAUCUAUUAGGAAGAGUUACAAGAUAGUGCACAGUUAAAGGUGUGAGGUUGAAGAGUAAAUUUUUAUUAAAGGUCAUAUGAUUAGAUGCCCCUGAGUCUAUUAUCCAGGUGGCAGAAUUAAUGUGAGUAAGUAUGCAAAAUUUGAAAUCAGAAACAGGGCUCUCAGUUAGCAUAGUACAAACAAAAUUGGCAGCAUACAUGGGAGGAAAAGUCUGGGCAGUGGAGUCCCCUAACUGAGUUUGUUGCAGCAAGGUCACCAAUUGGUCAUAUUGUUGUCUGCUCAACCAUGGUAUCACAGAACUCUGGCCAUCCAUGUUUGGAACAGGGUGAUGGCUUUCAGGAGGAUUUCCACGAGGAACAGACAUAUUUCCUUCAGAAGAAGGGAAAUCCACACCAGUAGUGAGAUGAGUAGCAGCAUGUCUCCUUCCCUUGUUAAAUGUUACACUUUGUGGAUACCCAUCAAUCUUGUAACACUUAUCAAUUAAGUGCCCAUAUUUUUUGCAGUAUCUACAGAAUACAGAACCUCUAGCUGGGUCAAAAUUAACUCUUUGUCUGAAAGGAGAAGGAUUAGGCACUGUGACCUUAUUGAUUCCAACUGAAUGUUUGUUUGUGUGGACAUUGAAAGACAUAGAGUCUGGAUUAAACUGAGAAAUGGACUGGACUUGUCUCUAUUUCUCAUCAUUGAGGACCAUAUUGUAGACACUGUCAAGGGUAUGAGGAGGCUGCAUCAUCAGUAAGUUACUCCUUACCCCCAUGUAUGCUUCAUUAAGGCCCAUGAGAAACUGGAACACCUUAUUCUCAUCAUCUUCAUGUAUGAUGCCAUUUCUGGUAGGACAAAUGCUUCUUUGCCCAUGGUUUUUGUACAUAUUGUUCCUAAUUCAUCCCACAGUCCUUUAAGUUUGUUAAAAUAUGAGGCUACAUCUAGAGAUCCUUGAGAAGUAUGAGAGGGUUCUCUUUUUAGUUAAAUUUUUUUUGUUCUGUUAGCAGUACCAUAUCUAGCUGCGAGCUGUACCCAUUUACUUUGUGCAGUAUCAGAAUACUGUACACUCUCAGCUAUCUGAGGAGAUAAGGAAGGAGUUAACCAGGAGAUUACCAUAUUGUUACAUCUAUCCCAUAACUUUUGUUCAGCCACAUUAGUAUUUGGUCGGGGACAUGUACCAUCAACAAAGACAAUUUUAUUCUUAGCAGACAGGGCGACAAUCAUUUUCCUCCUCCAACCCCCAUAACCACUACCCGAUAAGGGAGUGGAGAUAAGAGAAACUCCAGGAAUAUCAGAGGAGUAAAUGAAAAGAAGACUGGUAGGGUCAACAGAGGAUGUAUUAACACUCAUGUUAGAAGUCAUGAACAACAAUGAGUUUNNNNNNNNNNNNNNNNNNNNNNNNNNNNNNNNNNNNNNNNNNNNNNNNNNNNNNNNNNNNNNNNNNNNNNNNNNNNNNNNNNNNNNNNNNNNNNNNNNNNNNNNNNNNNNNNNNNNNAGACUAGAGUUGAAUCAAAACCACAUGCAAAGCAUAUAGCACCUAGAACAAGAAUAGAUUUACCCGCCUUCUUCGCGACCGGAGAAGAACGGCCUUCAACUGACAGAGAAAACCCUAACUCCGAACAGCAGAAACCCUAGAACCUGGAAACUUACCGGAAUCAGGUCGAGGACGUCGGAAAGUUACCUAAAACAUCCACCCAGGUAAGAUCAAGCCAUCAUAUAGCGGUAAAAGUUCUGAUUGACUGGUCGAUACACAUAGGGUUUGUCAACAACAGAAUCUCUCACAAAUAUCCAAAAAAAAUCUUCAAAAACAACUCUGACAGAGUUGAUAACAGAUGACGGAGGAGCGACCGAAGAUUUCCUGCUCUGAUACCAUGAAAACAUAGCAGAAUGAAGAAAGAGAUUCGGUUGAGAGAGAGAGCUUCUAGAGAGCUCGAAGAACAAAAACUCAAAC
This 5247-nucleotide long non-coding RNA is filed under the name Nicotiana benthamiana. RNAcentral's name for it is "long non-coding RNA (NBEN_LNC013022)". Lineage: Eukaryota; Viridiplantae; Streptophyta; Magnoliopsida; Solanales; Solanaceae. The record is from RNAcentral.